This is a long non-coding RNA of Gallus gallus (chicken), 6974 nucleotides long. RefSeq lists it as uncharacterized. Lineage: Eukaryota; Metazoa; Chordata; Aves; Galliformes; Phasianidae. The transcript is spliced from 2 exons. The record is from RefSeq and is a predicted model, not a curated record.
GAGCUGGGAGGUGCUGCGGCUCCACUCAGCGCUUCCUGGAAACUCCCGCUCAGGAGAGGAGGGGGGCGGGGGAGAGCGGUAGGGAAAGAGUCCCAGGCCGGCUGCGGGCGGGGGGGCGCUCCCUCCUCACCGCCGCCCCCGUGAGGCGCGUACGGAGCUCGGGCGGCCCCCAGCGCCAUUUCCCUUUGUGGAAAGUGAGGGAUGAACUCCUCAGACCCCCUCCUCCACCAUCGAGGAGGCCUUUUUCCCCCUUAUAACGUGCGGAGCCCCGCCAUGAGGGAGAGUCCUUCCCGGGGCCGUGCCAGGGGAGCGGCGGAGUUACCGCUCAGAGGGAGGGGAGCGGAGUUUGUAAAUGGAAACACGGGUACACGAGCGCCCAGCACGGCCGGGCUGCGACGGUCCGGCUGCAAAAGGCUGAGAACAAAAAAAAAAAGAAAAAAAAAAAAAAAAAAAAAAGUGAAAUGCCUCCCUCUGCUGCCCCCUGGCUGCUGAGUGGGGAAGACAGGAGGGGGGGGAGAGCCCGCCGGUGGGGGUCCAUAAGGGGCGGGGACACGCGGCGUCAGUCCGCGCUGCGAACGUUCGGAGCUCAGCCGAGGGCGUCCCGCCGCCCUCACGGCUCUGCAUGAGAUCCGGGAUGGAGCGAGGUCCGGCUCGUGGCCGGCAACGGGUGGUGUUCCCUAGCGGUCUGUAAUGGGGCCAGCCCUGUGUAAUAUCCUUAGUGAUGGUCUGGACAAGGGGAUUCAGUGCACUUUCGGGAAUUUCGCAGGUGACACCAGACUGGGAGGAAGCGCCGAUCUGCCUGAGGGUAGGAAGGCCCUGCAGAGGAACCUGGGCAGGCUGAUCUCUGGUCUGAGGCCAGUAGGAUGAGCCUGAACAAGCUCAAGUGUUGGGCCCUGCACUUUGGCCACAACAGCCACACACAGUGCUGCAGGCAUGGGGCAGAGCAGCGGAGAGCUGUGUGGAGGAGCAGGACCUGGGGGUGUUGGUAACGGUGUUGAACAUGAGCUAGCAGGGUUCCCAGGGGGCCGAGGAGCCCAACGGCAUCCUGGUUGUGUUAGCAGCAGUGCAGCCAGCAGGAGCAGGUGGUGACCAUCCCUCUUUACGGCACUAAUGGGGCCCCACCUCAGUGCUGUGCUGGGCCCCUCACUACAAGAAAGACAUUGAGGUCCUGGAGUGUGUGCAGAGAAGGGAAAGGAGCUGUGAGGGGUCUGGAGCACAGUGCUAUGGGGAGUGGAUAAGGGAAACGGGAUGGUUCCAUCUGGAGAAGAGGUGGCUCAGGGGAGACCUCAUCACUCACUACAACUACCUGAAGGGAGGCUGUGGUGAAGUUAGGGUUGGCCUAUUUUCCCAGAUAACAGCAAUAGGACAUGAGGUAAUGGCCUUAAGUUGCACUGGGGGAGGUUCAGUUUGGAUAUUAGAAAAAAAAUAUUCUCAGACAGAAUGGUAAUACAUUGGAACAGGCUGCCCAAAGAGGUGAUGAGUCGUCAUCUGUAGAGGUGUUCAAGAAAAGGGUGAAUGUGGCUCUGAGUGACAUUGUCUUGAGUAGUCACAGACAUGGGUUGGUGGCUGGACUUGAUGAUCUUAGUGGUCUUUCUGACCUUAAUGAUAAUAUUCUCCCCUUCCUGUUCUGCCUUGGCACUGGGCUGUGGGUCAACUCAGACAUCAGAACCGUUCCAGCACUGAACGGAUGGUCUCCAGUAGCACUGGGGCUGCACUCAGGAAAAAAAAAGUGAUGUGUAAUGGAAUGAUGUGGGAGAAAAAGGUUAAUGACAGCAAGUAGAUGCCCAUAAAUCCUGUUAACCAUCAAGCAUUUCCAUAGAAAUAUCCUGAUUCCCAAUGCCCCACACCUUUCACAAGCUUCCAUUUCCUUAUCGCCAUUCCUGAAUUAGUAUGUGGCUUCAUUUACAAACAUAAAAUCCAGAUGUAAAUCUAGGGUGAAGGGUUUUCAACCUUAUGUCCCUGACUUGUGGGUUUCAUGAAGUUCUGUCUCAUUCAUUGGUCAGCCUCAACCUGCGUGGUGCAGGGGAGAUGGGUAUCCUAGUCUUAGGAAUCUUUAGGACAAAGAGAGGACAUCCAAUGACUGAGCUCCUCUAGUCCUGACCAAUUAUAGAUGAUCCGUUCUCUGCUUUAGGCCUCGGGUCACUCUUAGCUUUUGGUUGCUCUCUUUGUUACGCUUUUAUUAUUUUGGUCUUUGUACUCCAGUCAAUUCAGAGUGUUUUGUAGAUAUCUGUGUUUCUUCUGUCAGCCUCAUACUGCUUCUACCAUCAAAAUAUUAAAACACAAAAGCUUGCUGAUUAUUCAUCAGCAGAUCUCUGGAUUUGCACACAGGCUGCUUUCUUGGAGCAAGUCAGCAAAUUAAAACCAGCUCCUUCAAAAAAACCUUUUUGCUGAGAAUCAGUUGUUUCCGGAUCCUUUUGCCCCUUAAUAAAAAAAAGCAGGGGAAAGCUAAUAGCCACAGAUGAAAAGCCAAUAGCACAUCAGAUUGUGAUGCUAGUUAUGUUGGAGUAAUUGCCAUUCUGUGUUUAGCUAACAGGAGAUAGGAAAAUGUCACUUUGUUUACGUGUCCCAUUAGAAUAAAUCUUCCUAGAUACUUCAGGGGGAUAUAGUGUCUGCUAACAAAGAAUUGAUUCAGGGGUCUGGACUGAAAAGCUUUGCAUUGUUCAGUAGAUAGUUUAAAUUAUCGUGGGAGAAUUAUCAAAAGCCUAAAAAAACCCAAACACAUUAAAGUGAAGUACAGAAAUUUGUAGUGUCUAACUGUAAGAAAUACAAGCAUUGGAAAAGGGAAAAAUAAAACCCACAUCUCCUGGAUUUUGUGAGCUCUUAAUCAAGGAAAAAAUGCUUUAUUCUAAACAUCCUCUUUUUUGUGCUCUGGUGUAAGUUACUACUUGUCUUUUUGUUUUUAUGGAAACCAGUAUGGACCAUGCUAGUAUUAGGGACCUGAGUGGUCCUGGUGGCUCCUGUUCAAUGAAGCCACUAGUGCCAGUAGCCCAACAGAACAGCCCUCAGCAUGCCCAUGAGGUGGGAAGGUGCUGCUGGCAAAGGUUCAGGCUCUGUCAUUAAGUGUAAACCAAUGACUCUGGCUGAAGUUAGUUCAGUUAAUGAUGCUGACUGCCUGGCCAGCAGACAGCUUAGGGCUUGGAACUGUUUUGCAGCUGAGAGGUAAAGGUUUUGCUUACAAGUAAGUGAUGUAACAGCAUUGUUGAUAAUAGAUAAUAGAUGCAAUAUGAAUCCUUCUCCUGCUGUCACGUCAGCUUUCAGCACCAGGUAGAAUCACAGAAUCACCUGAUAAGGUUAAAAAAAAAAAGAAAAAAAGAAAAAAAGAUGUUUGAGGCUUGUGCUUAAUUUUAAAUAAUUACUGGGUCAGGUAUAAUUUUCAAACCUGUAUUUUUAUGUUCAGGCUUACAUUUUUAUGGGUGAGCAGAGAUCAUUCUGGACCUGGACUGGCAGCAUCCAGCAAAGCAGAGGGCUGCUGCUCCCAUGCUGAGUGCAUUGGGCAGGGAAAGCUGCGGGUACCAGUGAGCACAGUGCUCCCGUGGAACAUGACUGGGUGACGUCACUGAACCACUGAGCAGGAAGCUCUGCUCGUCAGCUCUUGAGCCUUCUGCUAGGCCUCUGGCAGAGGAUGAGGGGAGUUAAAGGAGCUUCCCAAAUGGGAAAGUCGGUUAAAUGAUUUAUUUGUGAGUCAGCAGCUGAAGCAACAUUAGCAUGGGAAGGGAAUCCCACUAUUAAUGAAAGAAACAUUUUCGUGCCUGCAUGCUUAAGUGAAAUCCCAUGCAACACUGCAGCCCAGUCACAGCUUCUAAAAUGUGCAAAACCACACCAUUUCUGUGCUCUGAGCGUAGACAGCACAAAUCUGGGGGAGUCAAAAGGAGGUGGCAUUGUUUGCUCCAAUUUGCUGCAGCUGAGGCCCUUUCCUCUUUCCAGGCUCCUCACUGGAGAGUGCACCACACGACACAGAGAUGUGUUAUGAUAGCACAGCGUGUACUGGUUAUGGAGCGAGCCCAGCUGAGUGCAUAGCAGUAAGGGAAGAAGAGGUCUGCAGUUCCAGAUUUCACUUCUGGCUCCUCAGAACUGGUUCAUCGGGAACAAAAAAUUGCUGCAGCUCAAAUUUCCAUCUCAUGCAUCUGCCUGGAUUGGCAGCUGUGCUUGCGGGUGAAGUUGUGAACACGUUAAGUAAAUUGGUUCAUUACCAGCAGAGGGAGCGUGGGUCAGGCUGGGUUCAGCGGGGAGUCAAGAGGCCAAAGCGGAGAUCGUCUCCCAAGGAAUUGUUGCUUUGCUGCCCAGAUGGUUUCCUAAACCCAAAUGAACCCAGAGAUAUGACACGUGCAAGGCUAGGACCACUCCUGGGCUCCCCAGCCCACAUAUCUCCUCAUCCCCUUCUUAGAAGAUGCUCCAUAAGUCAGAGUCACUAGAUGGUACUGUUGCUGUUUAAUAUUUAUGCCUCUGUGGACUGGCUGCCUGGAGAACUCACAUUUCUGCUGAGAGAUGAAGAAAGGCCUCAUAACUCACCAGGCAAACACAAGGAAGGAGCUGAGGGAGGCAGGAGCUCAGUUCUCCUGUAAUUCCAUGGUUGGAAGGAUGGCAAAGGGGUUUCACUCUGGCUGCUCUGCUUCCUGAAGGGGAAACGUAGUGAGGCUGGCCCAGCCCAUAAAGGCCCAAAACACUUGGAGACCUCCAUCUGCAGGUGGAAGCUUUGCUGGGGAGAUGCCAGCUUAAGAGGCUCAGCCUGCACAGGUUCCCCAAACCCUCAGAAAUACCCCAGUGACAUUCAUCAUGUGAAUCCCAGCACUGCAGGAAGUCAGCAACCUUCCCAUAGCAGCCAAUGGCAACAAGCAGAUCAUUGUGCUCUGCAUAGUCCCAGCCAGAAUGUGCUCCUCCCAGCCCACGUGGCUGCUACAAGAGGGGAAAGUCAGGCCAAUUAAAUCAGGCAGCAUUGAAUCCCUAAUUGACAUAAAUGAGGCAGACAGACAGCUGGGAGGGAUGGGGCAGGUGUCCUGGGUGAGAAAGGUCUGGAAUGCACCCUGGGGUCCUGCUUUGCCCUGUAAACAUCUCAGGCAGUGGUAGAGUUGAUGGGGUUGUUCCUUAAAAAAAAACAAAAAACAAACAACAAAACAAAACAAAAAAACCUACAAACAAUCCCCAAAGAUCCCUCAAAAAUGCCUUUUGUUGUGCAUGUUGCAUAAAAAGUGUUUUUGCUUGAUGCAAGUUGCAUGCAAGGCCCUGCAGCUGAAUGAUGGCAAAGUAAUUUUAAACCCUAUUUGUUUCUUUUUCCACAUGUGGGCACUGCCAGACUGGGUAUUCCCCCUCUGAUUUAUCAGGGUGUGUCCUUUCUCCUUGAGGAGACCCUUCAAAUAUCAAUUCAUGACUUUCCAAAUUAUUAAAAUCUGUGCUUCACAGGGGGAUGAGGCACAGAGCCUGAGGAGGCACUGCCACUGCACUCCAUGCAGGAAACCAGAAUUACCAGCCCACGGCACAGCCUCACCCAGGGUGUUGUCCUGAUGGGAACAAACGCUGUUGGCCAUUUUCUGGAAAAAUCUCACCUGUACCAUGCAGAGAACAGAGGGUACUUGCUGGUAUGGAGCACUCAGGGUCUACCUGUAGACAUUGGAGUGGAGAAGCCCUAGGAGUGGCAAACGGAAAGAGAGCAAAAUUUAGCAAAUAAUCAGUAACAAAAUCAUUUUCUGAUGACUUCAAGCAGAGGAGGAAGGGAUUUGCCUUGCAGCUCUGGAAAUGAUGCUCACAAAUCUGUGCUGGCGGAGGCUCCUGUAAGUGAAGUCUGAACUCAGCCCUUGUAAUUCUGUAAUUUGAAUAUCAUUUUCACAGACCUUACAAGAUGCAGAUGAAUGAGAGAUUCCUGGCUUUGAGUCAAAUGCAACAGUAAUUAAAUGUUUAUAAAACACUUUAAGCUUGUGAAAUGCUAUUAUCAUAUACAGGAAAGCAAUAGGCAAUAGAAGACUGGAGCAGAGUUUGAAGCACACAGUGAGCAGAGCAUACUCCUGCAGCUUUCUUCUACAGGUGCUAACAGAGCAUUGUGAAGAACGUUACCAUGCUCCUUUUUUUAUAACCAGAACGUCAACUAGAAUUGCUUUCUUCCAUACAAACAUGUGUGAUUCCAAAGUUUUUCCCUCUGCAAUAAAUAUUCCUGCCGAUGGGCAGCAUGCUGUUAUCAUCUUGGGAAAUGAGGAAGCGCUGCCACUUCUGAUCUCUCCCAUCGUGCCAAAGACAUUCCACCUGUUACAGGUUUCUAACACCAUCUGCUGUUUAAAAAUAAGACAGCAUUGGAAAUACCAUCACACAGAGUCUGUGCUCUUUUGAUAAGCCAGAAGCAAUGCCAGCUCAUCUAGAAGGGUUGGUGUAAUUGGCACAUUCCACUUUUGUUCCUUUAGCCCCAAACAUAUUCCAGCUUGUUCCUAAUUAGGAAGUGAAUGAUUUCUUGGGGACCCAGGGAUCAGUGAACAGCAGCCGAGAGCCAGACCCCAGCAUUCUUCCACUGCCAGACCUGACCCAAAGAAUCAUAGAAUCUUAAAAUCAUUAGAGUUGGAAGGGACCUUACAAGAACUCACAGAUGUUUUUUUUUAAGAGAGAGCCACAGGCUCUGCAGGGUGUGGGGAACUCAAAAAAAACUUUUAUUUUCUCAAAAAUACCAAUAUUUACCUCUUACUGUCUCAUGCUGCUGCUGUGUGAUGUUCCAACCAAGGAUUCUUUUACUGCUUCCUAACUGAAAGCAAUGCCAAUUUUUGUCCUAGGAAAAACAAGAGCACCUUAGACCUCAUUAAAUGUUUGAAUCAAAGUUCUCAUCACCAACGCUCUCAGUUUUUGUUGCAUGUCUUAAAAAGCAGCAAAGUAUUCUUAACAGCGCUUUUUCCAAAAAGAAGAGUUUACUCCAAAUGUGUUCUAACUGGCUUCACCCAGAGUCAAUGCAGGUUCAGAUGAAAAAAAAAAAAAAACACCCCAAUUCUUAAAGUCCAAUACCA